RNAcentral lists this long non-coding RNA (2956 nucleotides) under Triticum aestivum (bread wheat). RNAcentral describes it as "long non-coding RNA (TAES_LNC021495)". The stretch from base 1220 to 1311 matches the Rfam family "Small nucleolar RNA Z221/R21b". Lineage: Eukaryota; Viridiplantae; Streptophyta; Magnoliopsida; Poales; Poaceae. The record is from RNAcentral.
GUGGCACAUAGUAAUUCCUGGUGAGUUUAACGUGGGAGGUCACUCUUUAUGGUUAUGCUUCCAAAAUCUCUCUCUACAUCUGUUGGAUCAAAUCACUUUUCUUCUAACUGUAUUGUGAAUGUAGUGGUUAUGUGCAAUUAAGUUAUGUAAAACUAUUGUGGCUUGAAUUUGUUGCAUCUUGCCAAGUUUUGUCAAUGAUGAUUUCUGUCUGCAAAAUGUAUGCUCUGUGGAUUCAAGCCCCUGUUUCAGGGAGAACCUCUUGAUGAAGUAGAUAUAAUAUGACAUCAAUUGACAAAUCUGAGACAUCUUGCAGCAUUGUUUUGCUUAUUGCCUUGUUAUUUUAGUAGUUAAGUGCAUUGUUUUGCAACUAUCUUUAUAGCCUGAUACCUUAACCAUCAUUUUCUGAAGUUUUGCCAAUGAUGAUUCUGUCUGCAAAAUGUAUGCUCUGUGGAUUCAAGCCCCUGUUUCAGGGAGAACCCUGAGACAUCUUUUUGCACUGUUCUGCUUUUUGCAUGGUUAUUUUAGAAGUUAAAUCUAUUGAGGUCUGUUGACUUCUGAUUUUGCAACUAUCUUUGUUGCCUGAUACCUUAACCAUCAUUUUCUUAAGUUUUGCCAAUGAUGAUUUUGUCUGCAAAAUGUAUGCUCUGUGGAUUCAAGCCCCUGUUUCAGGGAGAACCUCUUGAUGAAUCAGAUAUAAUGUGACAUCAAUUGACAAAUCUGAGUCAAUAGUAUAGCAUUGUUCUGUUUAUUGCCGUGUUAUUUUUGUAGUUAGAAUGUAUUGAGGUUUGACUUUUGAUUUUGCAACUAUCUUUGUUGCCUUAACCAUCAUUUUCUUAAGUUUUGCCAAUGAUGAUUUUGUCUGCAAAAUGUAUGCUCUGUGGAUUCAAGCCCCUGUUUCAGGGAGAACCUCUUGAUGAAGCAGAUAUAAUGUGACAUCAAUUGACAAAUCUGAGACAAUAGUUUGUGCUAGUGAUUGAAUUGAGAUUUGAGUUUUUAUUUAGCUUCCUUUGUUGCAUGAUAUGUAUAAAUUAUUUGUUGUUUUCCUAUGAUGAUUCUGUCUGCAAAAUGGAUGCCCUGUGGACUCAAGCCCCUGUUUCAGGGAGAACCUCUUGAGAAAGCAGAUGUAAAAUGACAUCAAAUGACAAAUCUGAGGUAUUCCAUAUUGUACUUCCUAGUAUUAUGACAUUAAUGGACAAAUCUGAGGUAUUCAAUGACAUUGUGGCUAUGAUGAGAAAAGUCAUGCACCACUCUGAAGAGAUUCAUCUCUUUGUGCUGAUAAACAAACUUACAACCCAUUUUACAUCUGAGCCACCUCUUGGAUACCUACUUUUGUAUUUCUUCUUUAUUUGCUUUUCAUGCCAUAUAUGGUUGUUUUUAUAAACCAGUUUGGGGAAAUAAUGUACAGAAUAGUUGAUGAGGGUUGCCCAACUGCAAUCCUACCAUGAUGCGGACUGAAAUUUCAUUGAGGACAAAUACAUUUGCCGCUGAUGGUUCUUCUUUACAGUCCCGCAUAUUUUGAAUGCCAGUGCAGUUCUUGGUAACUUGUUUCGUGAACCUUGUUGCAUUGCAUAUUAAUUACUUUGUUUUCUGUUGAUAUUUAUGUCUCCUAAUAGGUACUUUGUAAAGGCUAUGAUGAGAAAAGUCAUGCACCACUCUGAAGAGAUUUCUCUUUGUGCUGAUAAACAAACUUACAAACCAUUUUACAUCUGAGCCGCUUCGCGUGUUUGCAUUUUCUGAUUUGUCUCUUGGUUUUUGAGAAACCAAGUAAUUUAAGGUAAUAACUGGAUUGGAGGGAUAAUAACAGAGCCAGAUGAUGAGGGUUGCCUAUGAGCGAUCCUACCAUGAUGCGGACUGAAUUUACAUUGAGGUCAAAUACAUUUGCCGCUGAUGGUUCUUCUUUCCAGUUUCCAAUACCCCCAGUCUUGAAUGGAGUUUGUCCUUGGUUUUCCAAUGAUGAUAAUGGCUAUGAUGAGAAAAGUCAUGCACCACUCUGAAGAGAUUUAUCUCUUUGUGCUGAUAAACAAACUUACAACCCAUUUUAAUUCUGAGCCAUCUCAUGACUUUCGUAUUUUCUUAUUGGUUUUGAGAAACCGUUUUCAGCUUUUGCCUUUGUGAGAAUACUGUAGUCUUGGAUAUUAACUGGAUUUGGAGGAAUAAUGUAUAGAACCAGAUGAUGAGGGUUGCCUGUGAGCGAUCCUACCAUGAUGCGGACUGAAUUACAUUGAGGUCAAAACAUUUGCCGCUGAUGGUUCUUCUUCCCAAUCCUCCAUAUCUUUCAAUGGUUUUUCCUCCCUGUUAUGAAUGUACUGGGAAUUUGGUUCAAAACGGUUUUGCCAAUUUUGUUUCUGUCUGCAAAAUGGACGCUCGAGCCCCUGUUUUCAGGGAGAACCUCUCGAGAAAAUGACAUCAAACGACAAACCUGAGGCAUUGUAAAACCAAAAAACUUUUACUGGAGCUUGUAUUUCCUAAUUGUGUUUCAUCUCUUCUUUUUUUGACAAUUGUACACGCCAAUCAUAUAUCAGCUUUGCUUAGAUGUGGUUUCUCAAAUGUAUUUUCUUUCUCCUGAUUGCAGAAAGCCAUUUCAAGCGCAAGGAGCUGCUGAACCUACUGGAUGAUAUGAAGCAGAUGGUGCUCUACUUCUGUAUCAUGAUUGUAGCCUUGUACCAAUGAUACAGAGGGAACAUUGUACUGUGAUCUGUAGGCUUGCCUGGUCAUAUUGGCUAGAGUCCUUGUAAUUCUUGUGAGAUUAAUGACAUGCACAUAUUUUAACUACCUCCCAUUGUUGUUGUGCCUGAAAUUUUGGGAGCAUCAUGCCUGAAGUGUGGAAGGUUAAACUAGACGCGCACUCAAUAAAAUUUGUUUUGAUGCCCUCUUCUAUGAUUAAAAUGAGCAUUGUGAUGUAAGAUCACAUUUGUUGCACAUACAUGCAAUGGUCAUCUUAGUUCUUUACCUCAAA